This 1347-nucleotide ribosomal RNA is filed under the name Staphylococcus aureus. RNAcentral describes it as "bacterial SSU rRNA". It matches the Rfam family "Bacterial small subunit ribosomal RNA", at positions 79 to 1412 of the family's 1533-position model. The record is from RNAcentral. Lineage: Bacteria; Bacillati; Bacillota; Bacilli; Caryophanales; Staphylococcaceae.
UGCUUCUCUGAUGUUAGCGGCGGACGGGUGAGUAACACGUGGAUAACCUACCUAUAAGACUGGGAUAACUUCGGGAAACCGGAGCUAAUACCGGAUAAUAUUUUGAACCGCAUGGUUCAAAAGUGAAAGACGGUCUUGCUGUCACUUAUAGAUGGAUCCGCGCUGCAUUAGCUAGUUGGUAAGGUAACGGCUUACCAAGGCAACGAUGCAUAGCCGACCUGAGAGGGUGAUCGGCCACACUGGAACUGAGACACGGUCCAGACUCCUACGGGAGGCAGCAGUAGGGAAUCUUCCGCAAUGGGCGAAAGCCUGACGGAGCAACGCCGCGUGAGUGAUGAAGGUCUUCGGAUCGUAAAACUCUGUUAUUAGGGAAGAACAUAUGUGUAAGUAACUGUGCACAUCUUGACGGUACCUAAUCAGAAAGCCACGGCUAACUACGUGCCAGCAGCCGCGGUAAUACGUAGGUGGCAAGCGUUAUCCGGAAUUAUUGGGCGUAAAGCGCGCGUAGGCGGUUUUUUAAGUCUGAUGUGAAAGCCCACGGCUCAACCGUGGAGGGUCAUUGGAAACUGGAAAACUUGAGUGCAGAAGAGGAAAGUGGAAUUCCAUGUGUAGCGGUGAAAUGCGCAGAGAUAUGGAGGAACACCAGUGGCGAAGGCGACUUUCUGGUCUGUAACUGACGCUGAUGUGCGAAAGCGUGGGGAUCAAACAGGAUUAGAUACCCUGGUAGUCCACGCCGUAAACGAUGAGUGCUAAGUGUUAGGGGGUUUCCGCCCCUUAGUGCUGCAGCUAACGCAUUAAGCACUCCGCCUGGGGAGUACGACCGCAAGGUUGAAACUCAAAGGAAUUGACGGGGACCCGCACAAGCGGUGGAGCAUGUGGUUUAAUUCGAAGCAACGCGAAGAACCUUACCAAAUCUUGACAUCCUUUGACAACUCUAGAGAUAGAGCCUUCCCCUUCGGGGGACAAAGUGACAGGUGGUGCAUGGUUGUCGUCAGCUCGUGUCGUGAGAUGUUGGGUUAAGUCCCGCAACGAGCGCAACCCUUAAGCUUAGUUGCCAUCAUUAAGUUGGGCACUCUAAGUUGACUGCCGGUGACAAACCGGAGGAAGGUGGGGAUGACGUCAAAUCAUCAUGCCCCUUAUGAUUUGGGCUACACACGUGCUACAAUGGACAAUACAAAGGGCAGCGAAACCGCGAGGUCAAGCAAAUCCCAUAAAGUUGUUCUCAGUUCGGAUUGUAGUCUGCAACUCGACUACAUGAAGCUGGAAUCGCUAGUAAUCGUAGAUCAGCAUGCUACGGUGAAUACGUUCCCGGGUCUUGUACACACCGCCCGUCACACCACGAGAGUU